RNAcentral lists this ribosomal RNA (497 nucleotides) under uncultured bacterium. Its description in RNAcentral is "partial 16S ribosomal RNA". It matches the Rfam family "Bacterial small subunit ribosomal RNA", at positions 28 to 507 of the family's 1533-position model. The record is from RNAcentral.
GACGAACGCUGGCGGCGUGCCUAAUACAUGCAAGUUGAGCGAUGAAGAUUGGUGCUUGCACCAAUUUGAAGAGCAGCGAACGGGUGAGUAACGCGUGGGGCAUCUGCCUUUGAGCGGGGGACAACAUUUGGAAACGAAUGCUAAUACCGCAUAACAACUUUAAACAUAAGUUUUAUGUUUGAAAGAUGCAAUUGCAUCACUCAAAGAUGAUCCCGCGUUGUAUUAGCUAGUUGGUGAGGUAAAGGCUCACCAAGGCGAGGAUACAUAGCCGACCUGAGAGGGUGGUCGGCCGCAUUGAGAGUGUGACCCGGCCCAAACUCCUUCGGGUGGCACCCGUAGGGAUUCUUCGGCAAUGGGCGGGAGUCUGACCGAACAACGCGGCGUGCGUGAAGAAGGUUUUCGGAUCGUAAAACUCUGUUGGUAGGGAGGAACGUUGGUGAGAGUGGAAAGCACAUCAAGUGACGGUAACUACCCAGGAAGCGACGGCUAACUACGUG